RNAcentral lists this ribosomal RNA (253 nucleotides) under uncultured bacterium. Its description in RNAcentral is "partial 16S ribosomal RNA". It matches the Rfam family "Bacterial small subunit ribosomal RNA", at positions 524 to 776 of the family's 1533-position model. The record is from RNAcentral.
UACGUAGGUCGCAAGCGUUAUCCGGAUUUACUGGGCGUAAAGCGUCCGCAUCCGGUUUUAUAAGUCUACUUUCAAAUACCAGAGCUCAACUCUGGAAAGGGAGUGGAUACUGUUUAACUAGAGUAAAGUAGAGGUUAGUAGAAUUUCAGGUGGAGGGGUGAAAUCCGUUGAUAUCUGAAGGAAUACCAAAAGCGAAGGCAGCUAACUAUACUUUUACUGACGGUCAUGGACGAAAGCUUGGGUAGCAAACGGG